GGAGGGGGUCAAAAAAAAAACAGAUAUAUAAGUAACAUGCGUUUCCAUACAAGCGGACGAACAAAACAAUGACGCAGAUGCAUAGAUAAAGCAACAAAAAAAAAACAUAAACGUAAAAAGGAGAAGAAAAAAGACACGCGCAUGCACACACAGACAGACGUACAGACACAAGCCAAGCUAUCCCAUCCCCCAUUGACUUCCUUUACCUUUUCCAUGCACCCCUCCCCCAUCCGUGCAGACACACACACACACACACACAUACGCGAACGCUUGCGUGCGUCCUCGAGUCUUGAGAGCGACCAGCAUUGAUACCUUCUCCCUUUUACACUCUUCGCUCCUGUUCUCUCCGUUUUCUGUUUUCUGUUUCUUGUUUGUUUUUUUCUUUGGUUUCGUGUCGCUCUCGGAUGUCCGCUGCUCCGCCAUCCUUUUUGGUGUAAAUAUGCUUCCUGUGGGCGUUGCGGUGUUGGUCGCUGUUACUUACUGCUGUGGCCUCUCAUGUGUCGUCGUCGUCCUCCUCCUCCUCCCCCUCUUGCGUCUGCAGAGUAGUGGGGUGUCUUCUUGUGUGUGUGUGUGCGUGUGCACACGUCUCUCUGCGAUGGCACGGCUUUUCCACUUUCCUUCUUCGCGUACCUCAACGGUGCCGAUGCUUGCGCAGCUUUCCUUCAGCAUCUUCGUCUAAACAAAGUCUUUUCGACUUUGGUGCGUGCGGUCUUUGCGUUCGGCUGUAGAAGUCUCGGUGCAGCGGCUGAGGAAAAAAGGCUCGGGCGCCUCUGGCGUCAGCUUCCGUGCGCACCGCUAACCCUCUCCCUUCCCCCUCCUCUCGCAUCCACAACCGCCGCCCACGCACACAUGAACUCACCAUAACUACUGCGUCCUCUCCCAUUAUACGUAAAAACAUACAAAGUCGAUG
RNAcentral lists this unclassified non-coding RNA (910 nucleotides) under Leishmania donovani. Its description in RNAcentral is "gene:unknown". Lineage: Eukaryota; Euglenozoa; Kinetoplastea; Trypanosomatida; Trypanosomatidae. The record is from RNAcentral.